GAACACAUAUGUCCCCUCUGUCUCGAAGAUACAGCCAAGAAGUAUAAAGGACAUAGGUGGCUGUUUCUAAGUCUGCCAUGGAAGAUGUCCCAGCUUGAACCGCAGAAGCUUUUGUGAAGUUUGAUCCAAGUCAAUCGGCAAGAAGCUGACAGCUGCAUUUAGUGGCUCCUGCCAGGGUGCUGCUUCCUGUGCUCUGGAAAAUCCCUCAUCACCAAACAGGCCAACUGAGCCACACCUGGGUUUAAGCAGAACAUCUGGACCUACUCUUUCCUACUCACUCAUGUUCUUCAAAUCUUCCCUAAACAAAUGGCGCUUUAGCACAAGUCUGACACCAGAGAUUUGUAAGCCCUAUGUGCACUGCCAAAUCCAGUUUGAUACAAAACACAGCUACCCUUCUUGAAUCAAAUACAUUACAGAGAUGAUACCUCAGUCAUAUAUUUCAAUUAGUUAAGCCUCAAGCGAUUUAUGGAGGUCAUUUCCACCAGUAGUAAUAAAUUUCAUUGUGGCAUUAACAAACAGGGAAUUUGAGGGAAGGUUGGAAUCCAACAUCUUUUAAAUAUUCUAGCAUUCAUUGGUCAUAAGCUCUUUGUUUUUAACCACUGGCUGGGAAAGUCCUGAAAAUUAAAGAUGGGUGUGGGUAUAAUUAAUGGAAUGCCGG
This 658-nucleotide long non-coding RNA is filed under the name Ailuropoda melanoleuca (giant panda). Its description in RNAcentral is "lncRNA (ENSAMEG00000027385.1)". Lineage: Eukaryota; Metazoa; Chordata; Mammalia; Carnivora; Ursidae. The record is from RNAcentral.